This 484-nucleotide ribosomal RNA is filed under the name uncultured bacterium. RNAcentral describes it as "partial 16S ribosomal RNA". It matches the Rfam family "Bacterial small subunit ribosomal RNA", at positions 28 to 523 of the family's 1533-position model. The record is from RNAcentral.
GAUGAACGCUGGCGGCGUGCUUAACACAUGCAAGUCGAACGGUGAAGCAGGAGCUUGCUCUUGUGGAUCAGUGGCGAACGGGUGAGUAACACGUGAGCAACCUGCCCCUGACUCUGGGAUAAGCGCUGGAAACGGCGUCUAAUACUGGAUAUGUGAUGUGACCGCAUGGUCUGCAUCUGGAAAGAAUUUCGGUUGGGGAUGGGCUCGCGGCCUAUCAGCUUGUUGGUGGGGUAAUGGCUCACCAAGGCGUCGACGGGUAGCCGGCCUGAGAGGGUGACCGGCCACACUGGGACUGAGACACGGCCCAGACUCCUACGGGGGGCAGCAGUGGGGAAUAUUGGACAAUGGGCGGAAGCCUGAUCCAGCAACGCCGCGUGAGGGAUGACGGCCUUCGGGUUGUAAACCUCUUUCAGCAGGGACGAAGCGCAAGUGACGGUACCUGCAGAAGAAGCACCGGCCAACUACGUGCCAGCCGCCGCGGUAA